RNAcentral lists this ribosomal RNA (3028 nucleotides) under Salmonella enterica subsp. enterica. RNAcentral describes it as "bacterial LSU rRNA". It matches the Rfam family "Bacterial large subunit ribosomal RNA". RNAcentral also lists the same sequence under 1 other name. The record is from RNAcentral. Lineage: Bacteria; Pseudomonadati; Pseudomonadota; Gammaproteobacteria; Enterobacterales; Enterobacteriaceae.
GGGUUGUGAGGUUAAGCGACUAAGCGUACACGGUGGAUGCCCUGGCAGUCAGAGGCGAUGAAGGGCGUGCUAAUCUGCGAUAAGCGCCGGUAAGGUGAUAUGAACCGUUAUAACCGGCGAUACCCGAAUGGGGAAACCCAGUGUGACUCGUCACACUAUCAUUAACUGAAUCCAUAGGUUAAUGAGGCGAACCGGGGGAACUGAAACAUCUAAGUACCCCGAGGAAAAGAAAUCAACCGAGAUUCCCCCAGUAGCGGCGAGCGAACGGGGAGGAGCCCAGAGCCUGAAUCAGCAUGUGUGUUAGUGGAAGCGUCUGGAAAGGCGCGCGAUACAGGGUGACAGCCCCGUACACAAAAGCGCAUGUGCUGUGAGCUCGAUGAGUAGGGCGGGACACGUGGUAUCCUGUCUGAAUAUGGGGGGACCAUCCUCCAAGGCUAAAUACUCCUGACUGACCGAUAGUGAACCAGUACCGUGAGGGAAAGGCGAAAAGAACCCCGGCGAGGGGAGUGAAAAAGAACCUGAAACCGUGUACGUACAAGCAGUGGGAGCCCCACCACUAAGCCAGUGGUGAACUCCACAUACGCAUCCUUUGCUGAGGAUACGGUUAACGGAGCGAAAGCGACGUUCAACCGCAAAAGAAGCAGAGGGGGCUUAGUGGUGGGGUGACUGCGUACCUUUUGUAUAAUGGGUCAGCGACUUAUAUUCUGUAGCAAGGUUAACCGUAUAGGGGAGCCGGAGGGAAACCGAGUCUUAAUUGGGCGUUAAGUUGCAGGGUAUAGACCCGAAACCCGGUGAUCUAGCCAUGGGCAGGUUGAAGGUUGGGUAACACUAACUGGAGGACCGAACCGACUAAUGUUGAAAAAUUAGCGGAUGACCUGUGGCUGGGGGUGAAAGGCCAAUCAAACCGGGAGAUAGCUGGUUCUCCCCGAAAGCUAUUUAGGUAGCGCCUCGUGAAUUCAUCUCCGGGGGUAGAGCACUGUUUCGGCUAGGGGGCCAUCCCGGCUUACCAACCCGAUGCAAACUGCGAAUACCGGAGAAUGUUAUCACGGGAGACACACGGCGGGUGCUAACGUCCGUCGUGAAGAGGGAAACAACCCAGACCGCCAGCUAAGGUCCCAAAGUCAUGGUUAAGUGGGAAACGAUGUGGGAAGGCCCAGACAGCCAGGAUGUUGGCUUAGAAGCAGCCAUCAUUUAAAGAAAGCGUAAUAGCUCACUGGUCGAGUCGGCCUGCGCGGAAGAUGUAACGGGGCUAAACCAUGCACCGAAGCUGCGGCAGCGACGCUGAUGCGUUGUUGGGUAGGGGAGCGUUCUGUAAGCCUGCGAAGGUGGCCUGUGAGGGUUGCUGGAGGUAUCAGAAGUGCGAAUGCUGACAUAAGUAACGAUAAAGCGGGUGAAAAGCCCGCUCGCCGGAAGACCAAGGGUUCCUGUCCAACGUUAAUCGGGGCAGGGUGAGUCGACCCCUAAGGCGAGGCCGAAAGGCGUAGUCGAUGGGAAACGGGUUAAUAUUCCCGUACUUGGUGUUACUGCGAAGGGGGGACGGAGAAGGCUAUGUUGGCCGGGCGACGGUUGUCCCGGUUUAAGCGUGUAGGUGUGUGUUCCAGGUAAAUCCGGUUCACUUUAACACUGAGGCGUGAUGACGAGGCACUACGGUGCUGAAGCAACAAAUGCCCUGCUUCCAGGAAAAGCCUCUAAGCAUCAGGUAACAUCAAAUCGUACCCCAAACCGACACAGGUGGUCAGGUAGAGAAUACCAAGGCGCUUGAGAGAACUCGGGUGAAGGAACUAGGCAAAAUGGUGCCGUAACUUCGGGAGAAGGCACGCUGACACGUAGGUGAAGUGAUUUACUCAUGGAGCUGAAGUCAGUCGAAGAUACCAGCUGGCUGCAACUGUUUAUUAAAAACACAGCACUGUGCAAACACGAAAGUGGACGUAUACGGUGUGACGCCUGCCCGGUGCCGGAAGGUUAAUUGAUGGGGUCAGCGCAAGCGAAGCUCCUGAUCGAAGCCCCGGUAAACGGCGGCCGUAACUAUAACGGUCCUAAGGUAGCGAAAUUCCUUGUCGGGUAAGUUCCGACCUGCACGAAUGGCGUAAUGAUGGCCAGGCUGUCUCCACCCGAGACUCAGUGAAAUUGAACUCGCUGUGAAGAUGCAGUGUACCCGCGGCAAGACGGAAAGACCCCGUGAACCUUUACUAUAGCUUGACACUGAACAUUGAGCCUUGAUGUGUAGGAUAGGUGGGAGGCUUUGAAGUGUGGACGCCAGUCUGCAUGGAGCCGACCUUGAAAUACCACCCUUUAAUGUUUGAUGUUCUAACGUGGACCCGUGAUCCGGGUUGCGGACAGUGUCUGGUGGGUAGUUUGACUGGGGCGGUCUCCUCCUAAAGAGUAACGGAGGAGCACGAAGGUUGGCUAAUCCUGGUCGGACAUCAGGAGGUUAGUGCAAUGGCAUAAGCCAGCUUGACUGCGAGCGUGACGGCGCGAGCAGGUGCGAAAGCAGGUCAUAGUGAUCCGGUGGUUCUGAAUGGAAGGGCCAUCGCUCAACGGAUAAAAGGUACUCCGGGGAUAACAGGCUGAUACCGCCCAAGAGUUCAUAUCGACGGCGGUGUUUGGCACCUCGAUGUCGGCUCAUCACAUCCUGGGGCUGAAGUAGGUCCCAAGGGUAUGGCUGUUCGCCAUUUAAAGUGGUACGCGAGCUGGGUUUAGAACGUCGUGAGACAGUUCGGUCCCUAUCUGCCGUGGGCGCUGGAGAACUGAGGGGGGCUGCUCCUAGUACGAGAGGACCGGAGUGGACGCAUCACUGGUGUUCGGGUUGUCAUGCCAAUGGCACUGCCCGGUAGCUAAAUGCGGAAGAGAUAAGUGCUGAAAGCAUCUAAGCACGAAACUUGCCCCGAGAUGAGUUCUCCCUGAGACUUUAGGUCUCCUGAAGGAACGUUGAAGACGACGACGUUGAUAGGCCGGGUGUGUAAGCGCAGCGAUGCGUUGAGCUAACCGGUACUAAUGAACCGUGAGGCUUAACCUUACAACGCCGAAG